ACGCUGGCGGCGUGCCUCAGACAUGCAAGUCGAACGCGAAAGUUCCCUUCGGGGAGCAAGUAGAGUGGCGCACGGGUGAGUAACACGUAGGUAAUCUACCUUUGGAUGGGGAAUAACAACCGGAAACGGUUGCUAAUACCGCAUAAUGCAGCGGCACCUAAUGGUGACAGUUGUUAAAGCGGGGGAUCGAAAGACCUCGCGUCUGAAGAGGAGCCUGCGGCGGAUUAGCUAGUUGGUAAGGUAAUGGCUUACCAAGGCUAUGAUCCGUAACCGGCCUGAGAGGGCGGUCGGUCACACUGACACUGACAUACGGGCCAGACUCCUACGGGAGGCAGCAGUCGGGAAUUUUGGGCAAUGGGCGAAAGCCUGACCCAGCAACGCCGCGUGAAGGAUGAAAUCCCUCGGGAUGUAAACUUCGCAAGAACGGGAAGAAUAAGUUGGUGUGAAUAUCACCAGCGAUGACGGUACCGUUUGUAAGCUCCGGCUAACUCCGUGCCAGCAGCCGCGGUAAUACGGGGGGAGCAAGCGUUGUUCGGAUUUACUGGGCGUAAAGGGCGCGUAGGCGGCCACUGCAAGUCGGUUGUGAAAUCUCCGGGCUUAACCCGGAAAGGUCAAUCGAUACUGCAGGGCUAGAGUGCA
This 639-nucleotide ribosomal RNA is filed under the name uncultured soil bacterium. Its description in RNAcentral is "bacterial SSU rRNA". It matches the Rfam family "Bacterial small subunit ribosomal RNA", at positions 33 to 650 of the family's 1533-position model. The record is from RNAcentral.